This 229-nucleotide long non-coding RNA is filed under the name Mytilus galloprovincialis (Mediterranean mussel). The record is from RNAcentral. Lineage: Eukaryota; Metazoa; Mollusca; Bivalvia; Mytilida; Mytilidae.
CUUGAAUGUGAGAAGGAAGAUUUUCUACAUGAGAUCUUAAAUGAAAGUCUACGAAUUCCGAGAUUUUCUCAGUCGGGUGGCCGUUUGCGGAUACAAUGGGUCUAUCAGGGUUGUUAACCUUGUGUAUUUUGGGAAGAAGAUACAAUCGACCAGGCUUGGCGUUCUCUGGUUUUAAAUAUCCGAUUGUAUCCUCAUCUAUGUGACCGUCAUUGUGCAUGGUUUGUAACGC